UACGUAGGGGGCAAGCGUUGUCCGGAAUCAUUGGGCGUAAAGCGCGUGUAGGCGGUCCGGUAAGUCCGCUGUGAAAGUCGGGGGCUCAACCCUCGGAUGCCGGUGGAUACUGUCGGGCUUGAGUACGGAAGAGGCGAGUGGAAUUCCUGGUGUAGCGGUGAAAUGCGCAGAUAUCAGGAGGAACACCAAUUGCGAAGGCAGCUCGCUGGGACGUUACUGACGCUGAGACGCGAAAGCAUGGGGAGCGAACAGG
Molecule: ribosomal RNA, 253 nt
Filed under: uncultured bacterium
Lineage: Bacteria
Description: partial 16S ribosomal RNA
Rfam family: Bacterial small subunit ribosomal RNA
Source: RNAcentral